RNAcentral lists this ribosomal RNA (1017 nucleotides) under Triticum aestivum (bread wheat). Its description in RNAcentral is "partial small subunit ribosomal RNA". The record is from RNAcentral. Lineage: Eukaryota; Viridiplantae; Streptophyta; Magnoliopsida; Poales; Poaceae.
AUGCAGCUUCUGCUAGCUGUAUUAGCGUCAGGCAUGCAUUUGAUCCAUCAUUUCAACAGUAGGCCUAGGGAAUCUAGCAAAGAGACUGAACCCUCGGAGGGGCGCUUCUCCUAUGGCAGCGACCCGAACAGAUCCCUCCAAGUAUUCCUAUGGGAUGGGCAGCACUUAGUGGCUCGCAGCGCCCCCUGGACAGGAUACCUAGUGACGAGCCUACACCAACUACAGCUAGGGGGUGUCACGAACGUCAGCGAUCUUAUCAUCUACCUUGCCUUCGUCGACAAUGACGAUGAAACAUAUGUCACUUAUAGUCUCUCGGAAGGUGCCCCGCACACCAGGUUUGUGCUAACCUACUAUGGUCAGUAUGAGCUCCAAAGCUGGAGCAGCAGGUCGUCAACAUGGGCUAUCCUUUAUAAGUUUCCGUCUGCUGAGUGCAACCGCUACAGUUACUGCGGCCCAUAUGGCUACUGUGACGAGACGGCCGCGGCACCCAUUGUGCCAACAUGCAAAUGCCUUGAUGGCUUUGAGCCGACUAGCACAGAGGAGUGGACAAGCGGAAAAUUCUCGUCAGGGUGCCGACGGAAGGAGGCAUUGCGAGGUUGUGGUGAUGGUUUCAUGGCCUUGCCGGGGAUGAAGUCGCCUGACAAGUUUCUGUUUAUAGGUGGGGGCAGGAUUAAGUUCGAGGAGUGCGUGGAGGCGUGCAGCCGCAAUUGCUCCUGUGUGGCAUACGCGUUUGCCAACCUGAGUAGCAGCAGGUCUGGAGGAGAUGUGACAAGAUGCUUGGUGUGGGACGAGGAGUUAGUUGACACAGGAAAGGUGGGGGAGAUCGGCGGUGAGACUCUCUAUCUUAGGCGUGCAAGCAUGGAUGCAACAACUGGUAAAAGAACAAAGAGCAAUGCAGUGAGGAUUGUGCUGCCAAUUUUAGGCUCUAGUGUUCUGGUUCUCGUAUGCAUCUCCCUUGCAUGGUUAAAAUUCAGAGGUAUGUUUAGUAUACUCUUCUUAGCAAAAUGUUAUAUUUGA